GCCGGCGGCGCGGACCUCCUUGUCAAUGGGAGCGCGGGGCCGGGCUGCCCGCAGGACGGUCAGGUGGGCCCCCCAGCUCGCUGCCAGCGCGGCCUCUGUCCCUCUCGGGCCGGCUCUCCAUCUUGUCGCCCGUAGCCCGCCUUCUCCGUGGCUCUCCAGCCGCUGGGGCCGCAGAGCCGAGGCCGGGUUACCUCAGGAAACGCGAUGUGGUAGUGGGUCGGAAUAAACCCGCGCGCCCCAGAAUUCGCCUUGGGGGCGUAAGGACAGAUUCGGACUUUUCGUUUCCUAUGUCCACAUUUAUUGAGCACCUAAUAUGUGACACCCGAGGCUGUAAGAAGAGGAACGCAGCGGGCGGAGAAAAGCCAGAGCUUUUUCUCUGUGAGCCGCUGCCUCCAGGGCCAUAGCCGACCCUGCUCCGAGAUCCCAGCCGCCGCUCUCCGUGCAGGAGGGGUGCCCACCCUGGGGAGGCCAGGGUGCCCGGAGUGGAGGGACAGGGCUUCAAGCGACCGGGAGUUUCCAGCAAACCCCUGAUCCCUGAGCAGUUUAUUUUAAAAGCUUUUGCAAAUGUUGGACGGUUUCGUUUGGUGGAGGCCGUCUUUGCACUAAAUUCUCCUGUCCUCCCCCUUCGAAACGCACAAAAUGAAUUUUGAACAGAUUUUGGAUGAGAGGUUUUCUUCCUUUUUUCAUCUUCUGAAACAUUUCCCCCUCAUUUCUUCUCAGAUAAAGACCCAGAAACCCGGGACAGUUACUCGGUGUACAGCUAGUCAAAUACUGAGGAAACCAGUCGAUAUUUGCCAAAGAUUGGGCAUGUUCUGGGUGGUCUCAGAUUUUGAAGAAACGACUUUUUUACUGCACAAAAUAGUUUUACAAUCAGUUCCAUCAGACAGCCCCAGGGGCUCUCCUAGGGAAAGGGGCCAAUAGGCAAGGUUGCAUGGGGAUAAGAGAGGCAAGCGGCCAGUGGAAAACGGUUUUUUGUUUUUUUUUUCCUAACAGUUGGGCAUUUCUGUAGCUCUGAAAGCAAACUUGUUUGUUUCAUUUCAACGAUAGAAAAAAAACACUCCUGUUUUGGAAAUGUAACCCAGCAUAAAAAUACAUUUGCAAUGGGGAAAAAGAAAGCAGUUUAGGGCCACCCAGAAGAAAAUAUUUUUUCCCUGAUUUUUUUUUAAUUUGGUAUUUCCCAGUGUGGGUUUGCCUCAUUUUACAAAUAGCUGCCCAUGUCAAGAUGUGGGUAUGUGAUUUAAAUAUUUUAAUUUGAAUCACAUUUUACAUAGUCUAGGAAACUGACAAAAGAAUCCUAUAGAGAAUUGUUUUAUAAAGUGAAUAACUGCUUCUCUACCUACCCGCCCCUCUCAUUCUUCUUUUCUGUGCGUGUUUUUGGGGGGCUGUUAUGGGAUAAAUCUUGUUUGGCUUAAAAAUCACUAAAACGCAGCCUUUCAAAUCCAAAACAGAGAGCUUAGGUACCCAACAUUCUAUAGAAUGUAUUAUUUCCUCAAGAGGUUGCUAGGAACAGUUAUGUAGAUCUACCAGGUGCAGGGAAGCACUCCACACCCUCACCCAGGUCCUGUAUCCCUGCAAGACUGCGUUGGAAAGACUGAAGAGGAAGCUAAAGAAUGAUGCGCUCCACCACAAUGAGGGACUAAACAACAAAAAGGAGGCAUGAGAUUCAGGAAGCAAAAAAGGAAUUCAUCAUAUGAAGGAAUGAAGAUGUUCAAAAGAAAACCUUCAACCUCAUGCCAGAAGAUGUUCCCAGCUGUAUAAAUGCCUAACUCAGCUUCUAGUCCUUGGAAAUUAAGCAGCUCAUUGAAAAUUCAAGAGUUCCAGCCAGAAGCUACAGCUAGGCUCAGAUGUUGAAAUCAGUCUCUCCUGCUGAUCAAACUGUGACAUAGCCAAAGCAAUAGGCCUGGCUUUUCAGUUAAUUCUCAUUGCAGGUAACCAAGAUGCUUGGUGUUUAACAGCCACAUGAAGAUAAGACCUUGGACCCAGCAAGGUGUAGAGAGGAGCCAAGACCCUCACAAGAAUCUGGAACCCUCAAGCACUAAAAGAUGGAUAGAAAAAAAUAACGAGCGAAAGGAGAUAAUAAGGCAAAUUGUCUGGCUUGGCUUAGGCAUACAGAGUAAAAACGAAAAGUAUGUACUGAGAAUUUAUAACCACAGGCCUGCCCUCAAGUGGGAUAGGAGUUCUAAUACAUACUACCUUGGGACACCUUGGGUGCCUAACAGAGGCAAAUGCAAAUCCUCUCCAAAGACUCAUGUCUUCAACCUAGGCUACCUAAGAUUCUGCUAUGGUUUGAAUAUUUUUCCCUCCAAAACUCCUGUUGAAAUUUAAUCCCCAUUGUGGCCAUAUUGAGAGGUGGGGUCUUUAAGAGGUGAUUGGGUCAUAAGGGAUCUGCCCUCAUUAAUGGACGAAUCCAUUCAUGGAUUAAUGGAUUAAUGGGUUAUCACAGGAGAGGGACUGGUGGCUUUAUGAGGAGAAAAGAGACCUGAGCUAGCAUACUCAGUCCUCUUACCAUGUGAUGCCCUGCACCACCUUUGGACGCUUCAGAGUCCCCACCAGCAAGAAGGCCCUCAGCAGAUGUGGCCCCCUGACCUAAAACUUCCCAGCCUCCAUUAUUGUAAUAAAUAAAUCCUAUUCUUUAUAAAUUAUCUAGGUUCGUUAUUCUGUGAUAAGCAGUAGAAAACAGACUAAGACAAUUCCCAUGGAUAAAAGGUUUGAUUGAACAUAAAUUCACAAUCCAAAAUUUCAUACCAAAAGAAAGAUUCCCAUGCAUGAAUGCAAGCAGUAAAAACAGCUUUAUUAGACUUCCAGGAACUUCAGAUAACGAGCAAUCAGAUAGAGAGUAUAAAAUGAGUUUUAUAUUUUUAAAAGGUUUAAGGAAACAGUAUCAGGAAUAAGAUGUAACUAAGAACACACACAUAAACAAGGCCUGACAGGUUUUAUAAAAUAAAGUAGAACUUCUAAAAAAUAAAAAAGUGAUAAUCAAAUUUUAGAAUACAAUGGAAUACUUAAAUAACCAAAUUAGAUUCAGUUGUAAAAAGAAUUAGCAAACUGGAAAAAUCUGAGGGAAGUACCUAAAGUGCAGCACAGAGUUGCAAGAAUGGAAAAAUAUAAAAAACAUUGAAUAUGUGAGCAUUUGAAGGACACAUAUAUGUUGUACUGAUGAUAUUCUACAUGGAUGAAAGAGAAUGAGGGGAUAUGAGAAAUAUUUAAAGAGAUAAUUGGUGAGAAUUUUCCAGAACAGGUAGAAGACAUGAAUCGUUAGAUUCAGGAAGCACAAUAAAUCUCAAAUUCUCCUACUGCAUUUCAGCAUACAUCACACAUUUUAAUGAAAUAUAACUAUAUUUCCCAAAACAAACUGUUAAUGAGAAGAGUGGCGUUGUUUUACAUUUUUGCUAAUCUCUUUAAUGUCUAGUUUAGUAGAAUACUGUUGGAUUCUCAUAUGUGCUUUUGGAUUCAACCUGUUCCAAUAUCACAUGUCAUAUAGCCUUUGGAAAACAAAUCUGCAAGAGAAUGAGAAUGAAAAAGACAAAUUAUGUCUUAGCAUUAUUAUAAAUAUACUUUUGGCCUUGUGUAACUCCUGAAAAAUUCUCCAGGUUCUUCAAGGGUCUUUAGAACAUACUUGGAGGAACACUGAUUUAUGUAUUUAUUUAAAAAAAUUUUCUUUAGAGAUUAGGUCUUGCUUUGUUUCCCAGGCUGGAGUGCAGUGGUGCAAUCAUAGCUCACUGCACCCUUGAACUCUUGGGCUGAAGCAAUCCUCCUAUGUCAGCUUUCCAAGUAGCUGGGACAAUAGGGGCACACCACCAUGCCCAGCUAAUUUUUAAAAUUUUUUAGAGGUAGGGUCUCACUAUGCUGUCCAAGCUGGUCUCAAACUCCCAGCCUCAAGUGAUCCUCCUUCCUCAGCCUACUGAGUAUCUGGGAUUAUAGGUGUGAGACACUGUGACCAGCUAGGACCACUGAUUUUGUGUAAGUUUUUUAUUAUGGGUUAUGGGUGGUGGACUGGGUGUGUUACAAACAAAUAUUCUACACACGUACACACACAGGUACAUACACACACACAAACAACCAUAUAUGCUCUACAUGAAUCCCAGUUUUUCAGGGAAUUAGAAUACAUACAAUAAGGUACACUUGGAUUUGAAACUCAGGGGAUUUCAUUUCUCUUCCAUGAUUUAAAGGGUACUUCAGGAUCCUGCAAUACCAUCUUUGUGAACAUCAGGAAUAUUACGUUGGUACAUACAGAAAGAAGUCUUGAGUAAUACCAGAUAUUUUUGGUUAAUAAGAUG
Molecule: long non-coding RNA, 4277 nt
Filed under: Homo sapiens (human)
Lineage: Eukaryota; Metazoa; Chordata; Mammalia; Primates; Hominidae
Description: non-protein coding lnc-CES5A-3:13
Source: RNAcentral